CAUGGAGGUGGAAUAUGGUCAUGGAACAUUUUUUUGCGACGCGACCCUCGGAGGGGGGGGGGGGGGGGUGGUGUUGCUUCAAUAUUUGUCCAGUGAGCUGCGAGGAGACAAAAUAGCCCAUCUGAUAAUGCCAAAGUGGUCGAAUUUACAUCACGCGAGAGACAAUGCCCCGGAAAAGCACAACAGAAGAGAAUCCUCGUAUCACUGGCAAGCCUACGAAACAUCGCAUCAGUUUCCAGUUUGAAAAUGAUGACAGCACAGAUUGAAAAACUUGUGUCCUUGUGUCUCUCUUUUUUUUUUUUUUUUUUUUUGCAAACUGGGCAAUUCUGCUGCAGUUUAUCACUCAGUUGAGAGAGACAGCCUUCCAAGACGAAUGGCUGCUUGGAUGCGUGCGUAGGAAAGGCCGAUGCAGCAGGCCCAGAUGUACUAUGAGGAGAUGAUGGGUGUGCAUAAGGUAGUAGCGACCAAACUGGCGCCGCUUUAUGCUGACUCUCCACACAUCAGUCCACAGCAAUCUGGGGCUAAUCAAUCUCAAGUUGGAGACAGCAAGUACGUAAGCAAUAGAGUAAACACUAAUAGCAGUAGUAACAUCGCUCCUGAUGUUGUACAAUUGGAAACACGACCAAGGUGUGCUGUCACAAUAUUUGUUUUUUUUUUCUCUACAGCAUUUUUUAUACUAUUAAAAUCUGAGAGGUGUAUGUUCAACUUUGUCAUUAAAGUGAAAAGAGUUUUGUAAUUCUAAGUGUAUGUGCCACUGGUGGCUUUACUCAAGGUAAGCAGAGCUGCAAGUAUUGAUUGGAUUGUGAUAAAGAGCACUGAAUUACUUGACAGUAGCGGGUUACUUUAGGAUGAGAGUUAAGCGUCAUGGGUUUCUUGAAUAAGCAUUUUGUGAUAUAAAUGUAUUUUUUUUUACUCAGUUUAAUUAUGAAUCUUUGCAAGCGGGGCAUUAAAAAUCAGCGACUACAAUGCGUGCUUACUCACUUUGAAUGUGGCUGCGCUCAGAAUCCCAUUCAAACUCAUGUUAAAACGGAAGUUCGCACACACCAGCCGACAUUUAAAGUGCCUCUUUAUGAACCCCCGAAUAAGUUCAGCUGUGCUAAUCGGCUUUUCCUGACAUUUCUUUUGCUUUCUAGCAGAAGCUCGAAGGUUUUUGUGCUAACACGGACUGCCAAUUCAUAAUUCCCCCCCACCUUGACUUCGGCUUCAGUUCCAGCUCAAGGGAAAAACAACUACAAAGCAGGAUCAUGCUACCACCAUGGCC
Molecule: long non-coding RNA, 1261 nt
Organism: Hippocampus comes (tiger tail seahorse)
Lineage: Eukaryota; Metazoa; Chordata; Actinopteri; Syngnathiformes; Syngnathidae
Exons: 2
Source: RefSeq, a predicted model, not a curated record